RNAcentral lists this unclassified non-coding RNA (222 nucleotides) under plant metagenome. RNAcentral's name for it is "partial contains small subunit ribosomal RNA, internal transcribed spacer 1, and 5.8S ribosomal RNA". The record is from RNAcentral.
UCUCCGUAGGUGAACCUGCGGAGGGAUCAUUACAGAGUUCAUGCCCUCACGGGUAGAUCUCCCACCCUGUGUUAUUAUACUUUGUUGCUUAGGCAGGCCGCCCGCGUGGGCUACCGGCUCCAGCUGGUAAGUGCCUGCCAGAGGACCCCAAACUCUGAAUAUUUUAUUGUCUGAGUACUAUAUAAUAGUUUAAAACUUUCAACAACGGAUCUCUUGGUUCUG